Molecule: ribosomal RNA, 488 nt
Filed under: uncultured bacterium
Lineage: Bacteria
Description: bacterial SSU rRNA
Rfam family: Bacterial small subunit ribosomal RNA
Source: RNAcentral
AUUGAACGCUGGCGGCAUGCCUAACAUAUGCAAGUCGAACGGUAACGCGGAGAGCUUGCUCUCUGGCGACGAGUGGCGGACGGGUGAGUAAUACUUAGGAAUCUGCCCAGUAGUGGGGGACAACUCGGGGAAACUCGAGCUAAUACCGCAUACGCACUACGGUGGAAAGUGGGGGAUCUUCGGACCUCACGCUAUUGGAUGAGCCUAAGUCGGAUUAGCUUGUUGGUAGGGUAAUGGCCUACCAAGGCGACGAUCCGUAGCUGGUCUGAGAGGACGAUCAGCCACACUGGGACUGAGACACGGCCCAGACUCCUACGGGAGGCAGCAGUGGGGAAUAUUGGACAAUGGGCGCAAGCCUGAUCCAGCAAUGCCGCGUGUGUGAAGAAGGCCUGCGGGUUGUAAAGCACUUUCAGUAGAGAAGAAAAGCUUACGGCUAAUACCCGUGAGUCUUGACGUAACCUACAGAAGAAGCACCGGCUAACUCCGUG